AUUGAACGCUGGCGGCAUGCUUUACACAUGCAAGUCGAACGGCAGCGCGGGCUUCGGCCUGGCGGCGAGUGGCGAACGGGUGAGUAAUACAUCGGAACGUGCCCAGUAGUGGGGGAUAGCUCGGCGAAAGCCGGAUUAAUACCGCAUACGACCUGAGGGUGAAAGCGGGGGAUCUUCGGACCUCGCGCUAUUGGAGCGGCCGAUGGCAGAUUAGCUAGUUGGUGGGGUAAAGGCCUACCAAGGCGACGAUCUGUAGCUGGUCUGAGAGGACGACCAGCCACACUGGGACUGAGACACGGCCCAGACUCCUACGGGAGGCAGCAGUGGGGAAUUUUGGACAAUGGGCGAAAGCCUGAUCCAGCAAUGCCGCGUGUGUGAUGAAGGCCUUCGGGUUGUAAAGCACUUUGGGCGGGAACGAAAAGGACUGUGCCAAUACCACGGUUCGAUGACGGUACCCGCAGAAUAAGCACCGGCUAACUACGUG
RNAcentral lists this ribosomal RNA (484 nucleotides) under uncultured bacterium. RNAcentral's name for it is "partial 16S ribosomal RNA". It matches the Rfam family "Bacterial small subunit ribosomal RNA", at positions 29 to 507 of the family's 1533-position model. The record is from RNAcentral.